GCCGUGGGGCGGGGCUCCAGGAGGAAAGAGGGCGAAGGGGCUUGGGGUCGACGCCUCGUUUGUGCGUCGUGCGACCUGUGCUACCUCCCGGAAGGCUUUUUUCCCGUCAGGUUGUGCAUUCACCUCCCUCUUUCCCAGGGUCGGGAGCAUGUGGUCUGCUCUGAGCCACGGGUGUAACUCAGAGGACUUGAGACCUCGAGUUCUUUAGUCUCCAGCUGAGGAAGACGCAUUUCAGUUGAGACUAGUCACAUUUCCAGUGCUGAGAAGCAGGCCUUGGCCAGUGUGGCUGCAGGUGCCUGAGGAGUGCAGAGUGGCAUAAGACGCAGCGGAAGAGACAGGAUCCAGUCCAGGGCACUACAUUGCAUUAGUUGUUACAUCUCCAUAGUUUCCACUGGUUCAUGAUAGUUUCCCAGUCUUGUUUUUCAUGACCUUGAUGGUUUUGAGCAGUACUGAAUCAGGUGGAGGAGGAACACCCUGACAUUCAUCUCCCGGGGAAUGGUCUCUCUACCCUGCAUCCACAUGGUGAAGCACUAUAGAAGAUUCUCCCCAUGGGUCAGCCUCUCUCCAGUGCCAGACUCCUCAAAGAAACGAUACCACCCAAAUCAUCUUGCAAACCACAUGGAAAAUUGGUCAUGAUCCUCAUGGUUCCUGACAUCGAUCCCCAGAUCUGGCUCUGCCCUGACAGCGUGGAGCCUGCUUGGAAUUCUCUCUCCCUCACCCUCUGCCCCUCUCCUGCUAAUGAUCUCUCUCUCUCUCUCUCUCUCUCCC
Neofelis nebulosa (Clouded leopard) is the source of this 768-nucleotide long non-coding RNA. RefSeq lists it as uncharacterized. Lineage: Eukaryota; Metazoa; Chordata; Mammalia; Carnivora; Felidae. The record is from RefSeq and is a predicted model, not a curated record. The transcript is spliced from 6 exons.